This is a long non-coding RNA of Clupea harengus (Atlantic herring), 1928 nucleotides long. NCBI's taxonomy places the organism in Eukaryota, Metazoa, Chordata, Actinopteri, Clupeiformes, Clupeidae. The record is from Ensembl.
AUUAUCUACACAUACUGAUAGAAGAAAACACAGUCUACGUACAGCAGUGAAAUAAGGUUUAAAUGGACGAGUUUAGCGCAAGCUUUCACACUCAGUUGACUGAGCCUAUGAGAAAGGAGUUAGGAAGUGUCCUCGCAGACCAGGAUGAGGUGGUGAAAAUGGCCUUGAGCGAACUGCUCUCUGAUAUCGAGGCUUUGGAGGGAGAUAGGAGGUUGGAGCAACAGCAGUGGCAGACGGAGAAAGAGAAAUUGAAGUUGGAGAUAGAAGCUGCUCGCAAGGAGGAGCAAAUCAAAUGUCAGGCUGCCAUUGAAGGAAUGGCUGCAAGGAUUAAGAAGGAGAACAUGGAGAGGCUGGAAGAGAGGGAGCAAAUGGAGGCUGAACACAAGAGCCUCAUUGCCAAGAUGAAAAGGGAUGAAGAAGAGAGAGAAACAUCCAGCAAGAAGGUGACAGAGGCUCUAUUGAAGGAGGUGGAAAAUCUGGAGGCCUCCAGGGACCAGCAGCUUAAAACAAUGAAGGAACAUUACGAGGAGGCCACAUCUGACAUGAACUUAAGGCUGAGGGAGAAACAUGAGAGAAUCUUAUCUCUUGAAGAGGAAAGGGAUGAAUUUAAAGCGAGCGUGCUGAAGGACUCUGAGAGAUGGCGUAGGUGGACCAAGGAAGUGGAAGACCUCGUCUUGUCUGGAGCUGUGACCACUGCUGUUAUCAAACAGAGGCUGAUGUCAGAAUUGAGGACUCAGGCUGAGACAUGGAUGUUUGGAAAUGCUUCAGAAAGUUCCACAGAUGGCCAUAUGAAGAGCAGAAAUGUACCAAAUGUUUUCCUGAAGUGGAGGAUUCGUAAUGAAUGGAGAAAACUCCAGGGGAAUCAGGCCUUCCUCAAUGAUGACCUUCAGAAUUUCUGCCUUAGCAAAGAAAUUGAGACAUUGAUACUGUCAACUAAUGCAGCUCAAGAUAAGAUUAACCAGAAGUAUAAGAAAAAGAUUGACAAAAUCAGAAAUGAGGCCAAGAAGAAGGAGGCCGAACUAGUUCAAGCUGAAUUGAAAGAGACAUCAAAGCUUGAGAAAAAGAAAAGAGAGAAAAUGGAAAGGAUUCAGGGUACCACAUUACAGGCUGAGCUGAAGGCAGAGAAGAAAAGGCAAAUUAAAAAGCAGAGAGAGCGCAAACGCAGAUAAAGGUAGCGAAAGAGCAGGAAAAGGCAGAGGCAAAAGAACAGCGUGAGGCGAAACGGGCCAAGACAGAGAGUAGAGGUCAGAAUGAAUCCCACACCGGCAGGAGGAGAUUCUUCAGGGCAUGCUUCUAGGUCAACUCAAGGUCAACCGCUAAAGAGAGCAAGGAGGAACACUUUGCCCCAAACCCUCACCUAAAUCAUCAAAAGAGAACACUAGAGAAAAGGGAGUAGGUUUUCAAAAAGGAGACCAGCAGUUGGUACCAGCUGGAGGAAGGGCUUUAGUGCAGUUUGAGGUUAAAAGCAAACUAUUUACACAGAGGCAUCGCUAAAAGUUCUGGGCCCCAUGAAAAUACGAUAUAGAAAUGAUCAGUUUCAAAGCUCCACAUUAGCAUGUUCUAUCGCUGGGUUCUCUGAAUCUUUUAGGGCCCUCUGCCCCUUGCUACAACCCUGUAUCAAUUUAGCCAUAUAAUGCUGUAUCUUUAUCUCACUAUAACCUAGCCUGCCCUCAUGUUUGAUCCAUGUUUGAUGCCCUCUCUCGCCCCCCUCUCUCUCCUGCCCUCACUUAACUACCUCUGGGGCUCUGGUCUGAGCUGUGGCCCGCCUCAUCCCAACCCGGAUCAAAGAACCUCUGAUCUGAAACUCAUCAUUGCUUAAGGGAAAUAAAGAUGCUAUUUAGUACAUUUCUGAUUCAGUUGCUUUUUUUUGUAUGUUGAGAAGUCUGAGAGGGGUGUGAAUGCAUUAUUAAAACUGAGAUAAGAUUGUG